AGAGUUUGAUCCUGGCUCAGGAUGAACGCUAGCGGGAGGCCUAAUACAUGCAAGUCGAGCGGUAGAACUAGCUUCGGUUGGUUUGAGAGCGGCGCACGGGUGAGUAACGCGUACGUAACCUGCCCUUCAGUGGGGAAUAGCCCCGGGAAACUGGGAUUAAUGCCCCAUGGUACUUUCGAUCUGCCUGGAUUGAAAGUUAAAGCUUCGGCGCUGAAGGAUGGACGUGCGUCUGAUUAGCUGGUUGGUGAGGUAACGGCUCACCAAGGCGACGAUCAGUAGGGGGCGUGAGAGCGUGACCCCCCACACGGGUACUGAGACACGGACCCGACACCUACGGGUGGCUGC
RNAcentral lists this ribosomal RNA (345 nucleotides) under uncultured bacterium. RNAcentral describes it as "bacterial SSU rRNA". It matches the Rfam family "Bacterial small subunit ribosomal RNA", at positions 8 to 352 of the family's 1533-position model. The record is from RNAcentral.